UUAUUAUAUAUAAUAAUGUAAUUGAAAAUUUGAAACGAUAUUACAUAAGGUUAAUAAUAAACAAAACGCAUCUUCAUUUCUGUCGUUAUAUUUUUGUUAGCCUCCUGAAGUCCUACUUCGAUCGAGCAUUUCGAAUGCUAUACAUGUUUGGUUGCAUAUAUGAAAUAAACUGUAAUACUAAUAUAUAUAGCACUUUGAUAUUUGUUAUACAUUUGUGAAUGCAUUUAUUGUUUGUGAAUACAGACUGCAGAAAAUAUUGGAGAAAAAAAAUGUAUAAUAAACUGUAAAAUAUGACACUUUAACUACGGGGGAACUUGGAAGAGAGAAAGGAUUGGGCCGCUAUAGUGCUAUACCGUUCAGAAAGAUGAUAUACAGGACAGCCACAUUAAUUAGUAUCAGAUAUUUGAAAAACUUGACUAUUAGGUGGUUAUUUAAAAUAAAUGUCGUUUGAGGUAUACAUAGUAAUAUUUUCGAUUUGUAAAUAUUAUUGACACAUUGCAAUGGUAAUUUAAAGUAAUAUAUUUAAUAAUAUUUUCUUGAUAAUAUAGAUUCUGAUAUUUUGAUAUUUAACCAAUUUCUUUGACUAUAUACAAAACUAUUCAACUCAAACUUUCGCGCCGCGAGGAAAAGUCUAUGCUUUCCUUGAGUGUCAACCAAUCAUUUGAAAAUUGUACAAAACAUUGAAAAUUCUUAAACAUAUGCUUAUGAUCUCAUCGUGAGUUUUAAGUUUUCAUUUAAGUAAUUGAACUUAUUAUUUAUUUAGUAUUUCAUUUAAAUAAUUUGAUGUUAUAUAUACGUGUAUUUAGUUAAAAAUGUAAAUAUGUAUAAACUGACUACAGCUGCAACAUAAAAGAAGAAUAUUUGUGUUUUCACGUGCUUGU
Nomia melanderi (Alkali bee) is the source of this 881-nucleotide non-coding RNA. The record is from RefSeq and is a predicted model, not a curated record. NCBI's taxonomy places the organism in Eukaryota, Metazoa, Arthropoda, Insecta, Hymenoptera, Halictidae.